This 202-nucleotide long non-coding RNA is filed under the name Trifolium pratense (red clover). Its description in RNAcentral is "long non-coding RNA (TPRA_LNC012443)". The record is from RNAcentral. Lineage: Eukaryota; Viridiplantae; Streptophyta; Magnoliopsida; Fabales; Fabaceae.
UGGCGCGUGAUUGUUGCUUCCGUGAUGUUGAAUUUGAGAGUCACAAUAGUUCUAUCAUUGCUUUGGUGAAAGAGGGGAAUGGGAACCCUAGAUCGUAUUUAGGUGAUUGCGUGAGGAAUUCGAAUCUGUGUCGAUGUUGUUGAGUUUUUGAGAGAAACAAAGACUUUGUGCGGUUAUUAUUUAGGGUUUGCAGAGAGAUGAA